UACGUAGGGGGCAAGCGUUGUCCGGAAUCAUUGGGCGUAAAGAGCGUGUAGGCGGCCAGAAAAGUCCGCUGUGAAAACUCGAGGCUCAACUUCGAGCUGUCGGUGGAAACUUUCUGGCUAGAGUCCGGAAGAGGAGAAUGGAAUUCCUGGUGUAGCGGUGAAAUGCGCAGAUAUCGGGAAGAACACCCGUGGCGAAGGCGGCUCUCUGGAACGCAACUGACGCUGAGACGCGAAAGCGUGGGGAGCAAACAGG
RNAcentral lists this ribosomal RNA (253 nucleotides) under uncultured bacterium. RNAcentral's name for it is "partial 16S ribosomal RNA". It matches the Rfam family "Bacterial small subunit ribosomal RNA", at positions 524 to 776 of the family's 1533-position model. The record is from RNAcentral.